RNAcentral lists this ribosomal RNA (270 nucleotides) under Triticum aestivum (bread wheat). RNAcentral describes it as "partial small subunit ribosomal RNA". The record is from RNAcentral. Lineage: Eukaryota; Viridiplantae; Streptophyta; Magnoliopsida; Poales; Poaceae.
AUGUCAAAGUGCACCACAGUCAAGUUCACGGCAAAGUUUCUUGUUGUGGCAAGUGGUGAGAAUAGUGCAGAGAAUAUUCCAAUGAUCCCUGGACUAGAAAGCUUUCCAGGUGAUGUCAUCCACUCCUCAAGCUACAAGUCAGGCAAGAGCUACUCUGGCAAGAAUGUAUUGGUCGUUGGAUCCGGCAACUCCGGGAUGGAAAUUGCUUAUGACCUUGCGACCCAUGGUGCCAACACAUCGGUUGUUAUACGAAGCCCGGUAUGUACAUGA